This 235-nucleotide ribosomal RNA is filed under the name uncultured bacterium. RNAcentral describes it as "partial 16S ribosomal RNA". It matches the Rfam family "Bacterial small subunit ribosomal RNA", at positions 1266 to 1500 of the family's 1533-position model. The record is from RNAcentral.
AGCAAAUCUCAAAAAGACCGUCCCAGUUCGGAUCGCAGGCUGCAACCCGCCUGCGUGAAGUUGGAAUCGCUAGUAAUCGCGGAUCAGCAUGCCGCGGUGAAUACGUUCCCGGGCCUUGUACACACCGCCCGUCACACCAUGAGAGUCGGGAACACCCGAAGUCCGUAGCCUAACCGCAAGGGGGGCGCGGCCGAAGGUGGGUUCGAUAAUUGGGGUGAAGUCGUAACAAGGUACC